CUCGUUACCCUCUCCGUGAUCGCUAUUACGUAUUGGCUCCUAUACAGCUGGUGGUUGAGUAAAGGAUAGUAUCAUUUCUUUACAUUUAAUAGGGUUGAGUUGAAAGAGAUUGUUUCUAGACUAGGUAGAAAUAUGAUCAAUAUCAGUUUGUAGAGCACUUUGUUCUGAUUUAUUGACGAUUUCGGAAGCCGUGAUGUCACCGGCAAAUUUCCACAUUAAGGAAGAGUCUUCAGGUAAGGUAAGAUCAUUUAUCAUGGCCAAAAACAGCCAGGGGCCAAGUCACGUACCAUGGGGGACACCAGCUGGAACCUCUAACCAGUCGGAGAAACACUUAUCGUUUAAUUUCACCCUCUGCCAUCUAUUACGUAAAAAAUCAGUGAUCCUGACCAGUUCACUACACAUGGUUUGAACUAUAUAUAGUUUAGCAAUCAAAAGGGUAUGAUCGACCAAGUCAAAUGCUUUCCUGUAAUCAAGAAAGACAGUCAUUAUAGAUGCGCCAGUGACAUCUGUUGC
Non-coding RNA from Paramuricea clavata, 513 nucleotides. Lineage: Eukaryota; Metazoa; Cnidaria; Anthozoa; Malacalcyonacea; Plexauridae. The record is from the annotation of a GenBank genome assembly.